GACGAACCGUGCGAACGUUGUUCGGAUUCACUGGGCUUAAAGGGCGCGUAGGCGGGCGGUCGCGCCCGGGGUGAAACCGUUCGGCUCAACCGGACGACUGCCCCGGGGACGGGCCGCCUCGAGGGGGGUAGGGGCACGCGGAACUUCCGGUGGAGCGGUGAAAUGCGUUGAUAUCGGAAGGAACUCCGGUGGCGAAAGCGGCGUGCUGGGCCCCUCCUGACGCUGAGGCGCGAAAGCCAGGGGAGCAAACGGG
Molecule: ribosomal RNA, 253 nt
Filed under: Azospirillaceae bacterium
Lineage: Bacteria; Pseudomonadati; Pseudomonadota; Alphaproteobacteria; Rhodospirillales; Azospirillaceae
Also listed under: 1 other name
Description: partial 16S ribosomal RNA
Rfam family: Bacterial small subunit ribosomal RNA
Source: RNAcentral